AAGUGCAAAUAGUAGAAUAGAUCAAAUCAAAUAAAAAAAAAAUCAAGAAAUCAUCUACUAUAUAUGAAGAAGAUGUUGGGAUGUGGUAGAAUUAAUUGGAUGGUUAUGAUUAUAAUUUUAUGGCUUUUGAUGUCAAAAAUAGUGAAAAUGGAGGAUGAAGUUGCACCAACAACAGAUGUUUAUGGUUGUUGGGGAGGAUGUUACAAUAAUUGUUUUCUUCUUCAAAAAAAUAGUGAUGAUGAUAAAACUUAUCAAUGCUAUUACAAUUGUUUGAACAAUUGCACUCCUAUUAGUACUCCUACUUCUUCUACAACAUCAUCCCCUUCAAAUUAUGGGAGUUUAUGCCAAGGUGGUUGUUUCUUGAUGAUUUGCAUCCCACUUAGCUUUGGUGGUGCAAAUAUUGGAAAUUGCUUGGCAAAUUGUGGAAACCUCUGCAAAUUUUUCAACACAUUCACAAAUAUGAAGCUAAAAGAUUAAGUAGUCAAUUUGCUUUAUGUGUACUCUUAAGAACUUCCUUCAAACUUACUAAGUGAAAUUACCAGCUUACCCUUCAUGUA
Solanum pennellii is the source of this 557-nucleotide long non-coding RNA. RefSeq lists it as uncharacterized. The transcript has 2 exons. The record is from RefSeq and is a predicted model, not a curated record. NCBI's taxonomy places the organism in Eukaryota, Viridiplantae, Streptophyta, Magnoliopsida, Solanales, Solanaceae.